GAGAGGGGCAUGGAUGCUGGCAGCGGGGGAGCGAGCAAACGGUACCCCCGGAGAGACAGACAGACAGACACACGGAUGGACGGACACGGCUGCCGGUGAGAGAGGCUGCGGAUCUGCCAACUGCAGUCUGCAGGGAGAAUUUACAUCUGUUCAUCCCCGCUGAAAAGCCACCUCCGUAUGCCCAGACACACACCAGCUGUGUCUGAAAAUAGCAGUGUGUUACCCAAGGGCCAAAGUUUCUAAUUACUGAAUUUCUUUUUAUAAAGUGUGAUGAAAAACAGAAACAUCAUGAGCAUCCAUUGAUAUUCAUUCUUAAGCAUCCCAAAUCCAAGAAUUGUCAAUAGUGCUCCCAGUGAUGUAGGAAGCAGCAUCAAGCAGCCCAGUGCAAACCGCUGCAGGGAAACUGGUCCAUUGGGCAAGUGAAUGGAAGAGCUCCAAACAUCAUGGCCAGAGAUGGGGUUCUCCAUACAAUGAAGGAGAGCAUAGUAGGCCUGGAAGAGUGGAGAGAGAAGGCCAGGCAGCAGCAAGUUGGGCAGAAGAGCCAUAGAAGAGUCAUAGAAGUCCAAGAGGAACAGUGAUGCUGGCAAGAGACCAGGGCUGUUGAGAAAUUUAGCCAGCACAGAUGAGGGAGAACCAGCCUUGGAGGUCUGACACCAGGGAAAGAGGCCCUCUGCUGGUGUCUUGUACAGGAGAAGAGCGUUCUCGGAAACAGAGAGAACUGCUCCUGAGGCAAAGAGUUUCUUCACUGGCCCUGCCCAACAUUUGGUUCGCAAAGGCAGCAUCUUGACAUUGCACCUUUCCCGAGGAUCUGAAGGAGAAGCUGCAAGUCAUUCUCCGCCAUCCAUAAGGAUUUGCAAAAAGAAGCAAUUGCACUAAGGAUUAAGCUGGAGCAUUUGAGAAGCGACCGAAAGAACAAAAGAACACAAGUACUGCAGAGGGACUGCAGAAGCUGGGUGGCAAUGAUGGUCAACCAGCUUUCCUCCAGGAACCCAACUGUACCCCAAGUCAGAGGGGUGGAUAAUAUCCUGGACUGGGGGCUCACUUACAGGUACUUAUCAAGCCCCAGCCAUUUUUUCUCCAGAAAUGUGGCAUGCAACUCCUGAACAUUCUCCUUUAAUAUCAUUAAAAUAGUUAGUUUUGUAAAACCCAUGCAUGUCUAUCAAAUAUUUCCAAACACCAUGCGGAAUGACGGGAUCUUUCUUGCAAAUACCUUGUAGCACCUGGAGGAAGAAUUGAUUUAGGGUAAAUUCCUUGGCAAAAGUUUGUAUAGUCAAAGUUAUAGUUUUGCCAGUUGUAAUGUAUGGCUGUGAGAGUUGGACCGUAAAGAAAAUUGAGUGCCCAAGAACUGAUGCCUUUGAAUUGUGAUGUUGGAGAAGACUCCUGAGAGUCCCUCGGACUGCAAAGAGAUCAGAUCAGUCAAUCUUAAAUGAAAUCAACCCUGACUGCUCUUUAGAAGGCCAGGUACUGAAGAUGAAGCUCAAAUACUUUGGCCACCUAAUGAGAAGGAAGGACUCACUGGAGAAGACCCUGAAGCUGGGAAUGAUUGGAGGCAAAAGGAGAAGGGGACAGCAGAGGUUGCUGCUUUAGUGGUAAUAAACAUUGUUAUUUUCCCAAUCAUCUGAAAGCAGAAUAAAACAGAAGAUCCACAUAGUGUUUAA
This is a long non-coding RNA of Varanus komodoensis (Komodo dragon), 1658 nucleotides long. RefSeq lists it as uncharacterized. The transcript is spliced from 2 exons. The record is from RefSeq and is a predicted model, not a curated record. NCBI's taxonomy places the organism in Eukaryota, Metazoa, Chordata, Lepidosauria, Squamata, Varanidae.